This 1456-nucleotide ribosomal RNA is filed under the name metagenome. RNAcentral's name for it is "bacterial SSU rRNA". It matches the Rfam family "Bacterial small subunit ribosomal RNA". The record is from RNAcentral.
AGAGUUUGAUCGUGGCUCAGGAUGAACGCUAGCGGCGCGCCUAAUGCAUGCAAGUCGAGCGAUAAGGUCCACUUCGGUGGACACAUAAGUGGCAGACGGGUGAGUAACACGUGGGUGACCUGCCCUCCAGAUGGGGAUAACGGAUGGAAACAUUUGCUAAUACCCGAUACCCUCUCGAGUCAAAUCGAAGAGGAAAGCUACGGCGCUGGAGGAGGGGCCUGCGGUCCAUCAGCUAGUUGGUGAGGUAACGGCUCACCAAGGCAAAGACGGAUAGGGGGUGUGAGAGCACGGCCCCCCACAAUGGGACUGAGACACGGCCCAUACUUCUACGGAAGGCAGCAGCAGGGAAUAUUGCACAAUGGACGAAAGUCUGAUGCAGCGACGCCGCGUGGAUGAUGAAGGCCUUCGGGUUGUAAAAUCCUUUUAGGGGAGAAGAGGAAGGACGGUAUCCUCUGAAUAAGCGUCGGCUAACUACGUGCCAGCAGCCGCGGUAAUACGUAGGACGCAAGCGUUAUCCGGAUUUACUGGGCGUAAAGCGUCUGUAGGCGGCAAGGUAAGUUUGAUGUGAAAGCUCCGGGCUUAACUCGGAGAGUGCAUUGAAUACUGCCUAGCUAGAGGGGAUCAGAGGAAAGCGGAAUUUCCGGUGUAGCGGUAAAAUGCGCAGAUAUCGGAAAGAACACCAGUGGCGAAGGCGGCUUUCUGGGAUCAACCUGACGCUGAGAGACGAAAGCUAGGGUAGCGAACAGGAUUAGAGACCCUGGUAGUCCUAGCUAUAAACGAUGGAUGCUAGAUGUGGGAUCGAGAAGAUUUCGUGUCGUAGCAAAACGCGAUAAGCAUCCCGCCUGGGGAGUACGGCCGCAAGGCUAAAACUCAAACGAAUUGACGGGGCCCCGCACAAGCAGCGGAGCGUGUGGUUUAAUUCGACGAUACACGAAGAACCUUACCUGGGUUUGACAUGGCCGUGGUAGAGAAGCGAAAGCUAAUUGACCCUUCGGGGAGCGGUCACAGGUGCUGCAUGGCUGUCGUCAGCUCGUGCCGUGAGGUGUCGGGUUAAGUCCCGUAACGAGCGCAACCCUUGCCCCUAGUUAUAAGUGUCUAGGGGGACUGCCGGUGAUAAAUCGGAGGAAGGUGGGGAUGACGUCAAGUCAGCAUGGCCUUUAUAUCCAGGGCUACACACACGCUACAAUGGCCGGUACAAUGAGCAGCGAAGCCGUGAGGAAGAGCGAAUCUCGAAAGCCGGUCGUAGUUCGAAUUGUAGGCUGCAACUCGCCUACAUGAAGCUGGAGUUGCUAGUAACCGCGCGUCAGCUAUAGUGCGGUGAAUACGUUCCCGGGGCUUGUACACACCGCCCGUCACGUCAUGGAAGUUGGUAACGCCUAAAGCCGGUAGCCUAGCUCGCAAGAGAGGGCGCUGUUUAGGGCGGGACUGGCAACUGGGACGAAGUCGUAACAAGGUA